UACAGAGGUCCCAAGCGUUGUUCGGAUUCAUUGGGCGUAAAGGGUGCGUAGGUGGCGCUGUAAGUCGGGUGUGAAAUUUCGGAGCUUAACUCCGAAACUGCAUUCGACACUGCGGUGCUCGAGGACUGGAGAGGAGACUGGAAUUCAUGGUGUAGCAGUGAAAUGCGUAGAGAUCAUGAGGAAGACCAGUGGCGAAGGCGGGUCUCUGGACAGUUCCUGACACUGAGGCACGAAGGCCAGGGGAGCAAACGGG
RNAcentral lists this ribosomal RNA (253 nucleotides) under uncultured bacterium. RNAcentral's name for it is "partial 16S ribosomal RNA". It matches the Rfam family "Bacterial small subunit ribosomal RNA", at positions 524 to 776 of the family's 1533-position model. The record is from RNAcentral.